GGCUGGAUGACCGUAGGGGACGCAAGUCCCGUGAGGAAAGUCCGGACUCCACAAAGCAAUGGUGCCGGGUAACGCCCGGCCGGGGUAACCCGAGGGAAAGCGCCACAGAGAACAGACCGCCCGCAGACAGGUCGACCGCAGUCGAUACCUCUGACGGGUAAGGGUGAAACGGUGGGGUAAGAGCCCACCGCAGCCCGGGCAACCGGGAUGGCACGGCAAGCCCCACCAGGAGCAAUGCCGAAUAGGGGUCUCGCGCGGGGAACCGCAGGGGUGGCUUUGCCCCAGAGACCCGGGUUGGCAGCUAGAGCGGUCCGGUAACGGCCCGCAUAGAUGAAUGGUCAUCCAAGGGGCGGCAACGUCCUUGGACAGAAUCCGGCUUAUAGGCCAUCC
This 390-nucleotide RNase P RNA is filed under the name marine eukaryotic metagenome. Its description in RNAcentral is "Bacterial RNase P class A". It matches the Rfam family "Bacterial RNase P class A". From Rfam's summary of the family: Ribonuclease P (RNase P) is a ubiquitous endoribonuclease, found in archaea, bacteria and eukarya as well as chloroplasts and mitochondria. Its best characterised activity is the generation of mature 5'-ends of tRNAs by cleaving the 5'-leader elements of precursor-tRNAs. Cellular RNase Ps are ribonucleoproteins. The record is from RNAcentral.